Molecule: ribosomal RNA, 545 nt
Filed under: uncultured bacterium
Lineage: Bacteria
Description: partial 16S ribosomal RNA
Rfam family: Bacterial small subunit ribosomal RNA
Source: RNAcentral
UGGGGAAUUUUGGACAAUGGGGGAAACCCUGAUCCAGCCAUCCCGCGUGUGCGAUGAAGGCCUUCGGGUUGUAAAGCACUUUUGGCAGGAAAGAAACGUCGUGGGUUAAUACCCCGCGAAACUGACGGUACCUGCAGAAUAAGCACCGGCUAACUACGUGCCAGCAGCCGCGGUAAUACGUAGGGUGCAGGCGUUAAUCGGAAUUACUGGGCGUAAAGCGUGCGCAGGCGGUUCGGAAAGAAAGAUGUGAAAUCCCAGAGCUUAACUUUGGAACUGCAUUUUUAACUACCGGGCUAGAGUGUGUCAGAGGGAGGUGGAAUUCCGCGUGUAGCAGUGAAAUGCGUAGAUAUGCGGAGGAACACCGAUGGCGAAGGCAGCCUCCUGGGAUAACACUGACGCUCAUGCACGAAAGCGUGGGGAGCAAACAGGAUUAGAUACCCUGGUAGUCUACGCCCUAAACGAUGUCAACUAGCUGUUGGGGUCUUCGGACCUUGGUAGCGCAGCUAACGCGUGAAGUUGACCGCCUGGGGAGUACGGUCGCAAGA